Molecule: ribosomal RNA, 546 nt
Filed under: Aporcelaimellus sp. MCb32
Lineage: Eukaryota; Metazoa; Nematoda; Enoplea; Dorylaimida; Aporcelaimidae
Description: SSU rRNA
Rfam family: Eukaryotic small subunit ribosomal RNA
Source: RNAcentral
GACCCGAUUAGCAGCUUCCGGGAAACCAAAGUUUUUCGUUUCCGGGGGAAGUAUGGUUGCAAAGCUGAAACUUAAAGGAAUUGACGGAAGGGCACCACCAGGAGUGGAGCCUGCGGCUUAAUUUGACUCAACACGGGAAAACUCACCCGGCCCGGACACCGUAAGGAUUGACAGACUGAGAGCUCUUUCUUAAUUCGGUGGGUGGUGGUGCAUGGCCGUUCUUAGUUGGUGGAGCGAUUUGUCUGGUUAAUUCCGAUAACGAACGAGACUCUGGCCUAUUAAAUAGACGAUAUAUUUAAAAGUAUAUCGCGCUUCUUAGAGGGACAAGCGGCGUCUAGCCGCAUGAAAUAGAGCAAUAACAGGUCUGUGAUGCCCUUAGAUGUCCGGGGCUGCACGCGCGCUACACUGAAAGAAUCAGUGUGCGUUACGCCUAGUUCGGAAGAACCGGGUAACCCAAGUAAAUUCUUUCGUGCUUGGGAUAGGGAAUUGCAAUUAUUUCCCUUAAACGAGGAAUUCCCAGUAAAUGCGGGUCAUAAGCUCGCGUUG